This 253-nucleotide ribosomal RNA is filed under the name uncultured bacterium. Its description in RNAcentral is "partial 16S ribosomal RNA". It matches the Rfam family "Bacterial small subunit ribosomal RNA", at positions 524 to 776 of the family's 1533-position model. The record is from RNAcentral.
UACAGAGGGUGCAAGCGUUGUUCGGAUUCACUGGGCGUAAAGGGUGCGUAGGCGGCGCGGUAAGUCGGGUGUGAAAUCUCGGAGCUUAACUCCGAAACUGCAUUCGAUACUGCCGUGCUUGAGGACUGGAGAGGAGACUGGAAUUUACGGUGUAGCGGUGAAAUGCGUAGAUAUCGUAAGGAAGACCAGUGGCGAAGGCGGGUCUCUGGACAGUUCCUGACGCUGAGGCACGAAGGUCAGGGGAGCAAACGGG